RNAcentral lists this ribosomal RNA (464 nucleotides) under uncultured bacterium. RNAcentral describes it as "partial 16S ribosomal RNA". It matches the Rfam family "Bacterial small subunit ribosomal RNA", at positions 28 to 507 of the family's 1533-position model. The record is from RNAcentral.
GACGAACGCUGGCGGCGUGCUUAACACAUGCAAGUCGAACGGUAAGGCCCCUUCGGGGGUACACGAGUGGCGAACGGGUGAGUAACACGUGGGUGAUCUGCCCUGCACUUCGGGAUAAGCCUGGGAAACUGGGUCUAAUACCGGAUAGGACCACGCUCUGCAUGGAGUGUGGUGGAAAGCUUUUGCGGUGUGGGAUGGGCCCGCGGCCUAUCAGCUUGUUGGUGGGGUGAUGGCCUACCAAGGCGACGACGGGUAGCCGGCCUGAGAGGGUGUCCGGCCACACUGGGACUGAGAGACGGCCCAGACUCCUACGGGAGGCAGCAGUGGGGAAUAUUGCACAAUGGGCGCAAGCCUGAUGCAGCGACGCCGCGUGGGGGAUGACGGCCUUCGGGUUGUAAACCUCUUUCAGUACCGACGAAGCGCAAGUGACGGUAGGUACAGAAGAAGCACCGGCCAACUACGUG